RNAcentral lists this ribosomal RNA (484 nucleotides) under uncultured bacterium. RNAcentral's name for it is "partial 16S ribosomal RNA". It matches the Rfam family "Bacterial small subunit ribosomal RNA", at positions 28 to 507 of the family's 1533-position model. The record is from RNAcentral.
AUUGAACGCUGGCGGCAUGCUUUACACAUGCAAGUCGAACGGCAGCGCGGGCUUCGGCCUGGCGGCGAGUGGCGAACGGGUGAGUAAUGCAUCGGAACGUGCCCAGUAGUGGGGGAUAGCCCGGCGAAAGCCGGAUUAAUACCGCAUACGACCUGAGGGUGAAAGCGGGGGACCGAAAGGCCUCGCGCUAUUGGAGCGGCCGAUGUCGGAUUAGCUAGUUGGUGGGGUAAAGGCUUACCAAGGCGACGAUCCGUAGCUGGUCUGAGAGGACGACCAGCCACAUUGGGACUGAGACACGGCCCAGACUCCUACGGGAGGCAGCAGUGGGGAAUUUUGGACAAUGGGGGCAACCCUGAUCCAGCCAUGCCGCGUGCGGGAAGACGGCCUUCGGGUUGUAAACCGCUUUUGUUCGGGAAGAAAUCCUCUGGGCUAAUACCCCGGGGGGAUGACGGUACCGGAAGAAUAAGCACCGGCUAACUACGUG